RNAcentral lists this long non-coding RNA (1327 nucleotides) under Heterocephalus glaber (naked mole-rat). RNAcentral's name for it is "lncRNA (ENSHGLG00100049319.1)". Lineage: Eukaryota; Metazoa; Chordata; Mammalia; Rodentia; Bathyergidae. The record is from RNAcentral.
CUUUAGAACACAAGCCUUUCCAGGGUUAUUAACCAUGCUAUAUAGUCAGCUCUGACUAACAGUUAUCAGUGUGAUGGCUUUCGCACUGUUGAACAAGGAGAUCCUUCCUCCAGAUGUGAUAGAGACAAGAUGACUUGGGGUGUGGAAGCCAAAAAGCUAUGGCAGAACCAUCCUGAUCCCUUGAUGGCAAGCAGUCUAUCCAGAAAGAAAGUUGUGGUAGGAAGACAUUUUCUCUCUUGUUUUUCUAAAAGAGGCACCAGUUCAUAUGGAGGAGUCUGAAGUUAAAUUCAGAGGUGCUGCAGGCUCAUCUCCCCAAAGCAUCUGCUGAAGCCUUCCUGGUCCUCAGAAAUACUGACUGAAGUGACAUGGUUUCUUCUCUUCCCAGGAUGCCUGACAGAAACCUGUUGCUGUCCACAACAUACGACAGGAAAGAGCAGGAAGGAGCUCAUGACAGAGACACAAAAAGGAUCCGAGGUCUCAGAGCUGCACUCUAAAGACAGGCUGCAUCAUUACAGAACUUCUACUCCAUACAGCCUUCCCUGACCCGGGAAAGAUAAAAAGGAAACAGCUGACCCUAAUAUGCAAACUGCCAUAAGCACUUCUUGCUUUUUCUAUUAGCAUAAGAUGGAUUGAGAUGGCUUGAGGCAGAUGUGGUUAAUAUUUCAUUCUCAGGGCUGUGUUGAAGUUGGGAGGACCAGGAAAGUCAACCAACAGAUUAAACAGUGGUGAAAGAAGAUGUUUUUAUUGGCCUCACUGGGAGCAGAAGGAAGAAUGAAUGAUUUGAGGGCAGAAAGGGCUUCAGCAAGUCUUGUAACCCUUUUUUCAACUUUGACUUCUCCAUAAUCUCAUGAAGAACUACUUUGCCUGUUCUUCAAAUGAACUUCUUGAACUCACAUUUCAUUUCUUUGUUUUUAAAUUUGGAUUUAUUUUUAACUGACAUAUAAAAUUGUACACAUUUAUGGGGUACUCUGGGAUUUGAUGCAUUGGACAAUGCAAUGUUUAAAAUCAGAUUGAAUGUAUCUAUCUCCUGAAACAUUUAUCAUUUCCUUAUAGUAAAAGUAUUCCUUUCUUCUAGCUUUUUGAGACAUGUAACACAUAAUUGCUAUUUGUAGUCACCCUACUGUACAUUAGCACACCAGAACUUUUUAUUCUGACGUAACUCUAACAUAGGACCUGUUGAUCAAUGUCUCCCUACCUCUCCCUCCCCACUACUAUCCCAGGUUCUGGUAACCACAUUCACUCUUAACUUCUUUUUUUCUUUUUCAUUAAGUUUACUGGUACAUGUUAGGUAUACAAUACAGUUACAGUCAUCAUUGGCAACUUGUAC